Molecule: ribosomal RNA, 484 nt
Filed under: uncultured bacterium
Lineage: Bacteria
Description: partial 16S ribosomal RNA
Rfam family: Bacterial small subunit ribosomal RNA
Source: RNAcentral
AUUGAACGCUGGCGGCAGGCCUAACACAUGCAAGUCGAGCGGAUGAAGGGAGCUUGCUCCUGGAUUCAGCGGCGGACGGGUGAGUAAUGCCUAGGAAUCUGCCUGGUAGUGGGGGAUAACGUCCGGAAACGGGCGCUAAUACCGCAUACGUCCUGAGGGAGAAAGUGGGGGAUCUUCGGACCUCACGCUAUCAGAUGAGCCUAGGUCGGAUUAGCUAGUUGGUGGGGUAAAGGCCUACCAAGGCGACGAUCUGUAACUGGUCUGAGAGGAUGAUCAGUCACACUGGAACUGAGACACGGUCCAGACUCCUACGGGAGGCAGCAGUGGGGAAUAUUGGACAAUGGGCGAAAGCCUGAUCCAGCCAUGCCGCGUGUGUGAAGAAGGUCUUCGGAUUGUAAAGCACUUUAAGUUGGGAGGAAGGGCAGUAAGUUAAUACCUUGCUGUUUUGACGUUACCAUCAGAAUAAGCACCGGCUAACUUCGUG